AAGGUCAUAGCUUUCAUCACAAUACUUGUGUGUUGGGUUAUCUGGAAUGAGAGAAACGCUAGAGAUUUUAGGAAGAAAUCAAUGCCGCCCUGCUGUCUACUCAAGCUUAUUCAGGGCGAGGCCAAACUUUGGGUCAUCGAGGGGGCUAGGCACUUGAGCAUCAUCAUGCCGAGAGAGCAAUCCACUUCUUUCCUGACGGGCUAUGUUGUGAGACAUCUCCAACGCCAACCCUCAAACCGCCCGCAACAGUUUGGACCAUGCGGUCCAGAUGUGUUUUGCCAUCUAACACGAUCCUGCAUCGAUGCGCAGGCCGCUCCGAACGUGCUUUUGACACACUGGAGGGGGGAGGGGGGUUUGCGGGCGUCCGGACCGCUGCCACGCCCGCUCCGGACGUGCUUUUUCCCGCAAACUAGAGACACACUAGAGGAGGGGGAGGGCUUUGCGGGUGUCCGGACCGCUACCACGCUCGCUCCUGACUAA
This 480-nucleotide ribosomal RNA is filed under the name Triticum aestivum (bread wheat). RNAcentral's name for it is "partial small subunit ribosomal RNA". Lineage: Eukaryota; Viridiplantae; Streptophyta; Magnoliopsida; Poales; Poaceae. The record is from RNAcentral.